This 84-nucleotide transfer RNA is filed under the name Actinomycetota bacterium. RNAcentral's name for it is "tRNA-Leu". It matches the Rfam family "tRNA". Rfam says of the family: Transfer RNA (tRNA) molecules are approximately 80 nucleotides in length. Their secondary structure includes four short double-helical elements and three loops (D, anti-codon, and T loops). The record is from RNAcentral. Lineage: Bacteria; Bacillati; Actinomycetota.
GCGGGCGUGGCGAAAUCGGCAGCCGCGGGGGCCUUAAACGCCUCUGGCCGCAAGGCCGUGUGGGUUCGAGUCCCACCGCCCGCA